RNAcentral lists this unclassified non-coding RNA (241 nucleotides) under Hevea brasiliensis (rubber tree). Lineage: Eukaryota; Viridiplantae; Streptophyta; Magnoliopsida; Malpighiales; Euphorbiaceae. The record is from RNAcentral.
GAGAAACCCGCCGCCGUAGCCGCCGCUCCAGUCUCCAAUUCUCCGUCGCUAUGUCGAGGAAGAAGGUGCGAGAGCCCAAGGAGGAGAAUGUCACGCUCGGUCCGACCCUGAAAGAUGGCGAGCAUGCGUUUGGUGUAGCUCACAUCUUCGCGUCGUUUAACGAUACCUUCAUCCAUGUCACUGAUCUGUCUGGAAGGGAAACUCUUGUACGCAUCACGGGUGGGAUGAAGGUUAAAGCUGA